UACGGGGGGUGCGAGCGUUGUCCGGAAUCACUGGGCGUAAAGGGCGCGUAGGUGGUUUGAUAAGGGUGUGGUGAAAGUCCGGGGCUCAACCCCGGAUCUGCCGUGCAGACUGUCAAACUCGAGGACUGUAGAGGCAGACGGAAUUCCGGGUGUAGCGGUGGAAUGCGUAGAGAUCCGGAGGAAGACCGGUGGCGAAGGCGGUCUGCUGGGCAGUUUCUGACACUGAGGCGCGAAAGCGUGGGGAGCAAACAGG
RNAcentral lists this ribosomal RNA (253 nucleotides) under uncultured bacterium. Its description in RNAcentral is "partial 16S ribosomal RNA". It matches the Rfam family "Bacterial small subunit ribosomal RNA", at positions 524 to 776 of the family's 1533-position model. The record is from RNAcentral.